RNAcentral lists this ribosomal RNA (333 nucleotides) under uncultured bacterium. RNAcentral describes it as "bacterial SSU rRNA". It matches the Rfam family "Bacterial small subunit ribosomal RNA", at positions 568 to 898 of the family's 1533-position model. The record is from RNAcentral.
GGUGUAGGCGGCUUGUUAAGUCGGAUGUGAAAUCUCCCGGCCUAAACUGGGAGGGGUCAUUCGAUACUGGCAGGCUGGAGUGCAGCAGAGGAAAGCGGAAUUCCCGGUGUAGUGGUGAAAUGCGUAGAUAUCGGGAGGAACACUAGUGGCGAAGGCGGCUUUCUGGGCUGUUACUGACGCUGAGGUCCGAAGGCGUGGGGAGCAAACAGGAUCAGAUACCCUGGUAGUCCACGCAGUAAACUAUGGACACUAGGUAUGGGGAGUAUCGACCCUCUCCGUGCCGAAGCUAACGCUUUAAGUGUCCCGCCUGGGGAGUACGGUCGCAAGACUAAA